UCCGCCUUGGAGGCGGCAGUCUCCUAUGAAAAAACAACAUAGGAUGAGGGUUGCGCUCGUUGGCUGACUUAACAGUACACCUCAAGGCACGAGCUGACGACGACCGUGCAUCGCCUGUCUCUUGGUUCCUUACGGCACUCCUACAUUUCUGCGGGAUUCCAAGGAUGUCAAGUCUGGGUGAGGUGCUUCGGUUAUCAUCGAAUUAAACCCCAUGCUCCACCGCUUGUGUGGGUCCCCGUCUAUUCCUUUGAGUUUUAGCCUUGCGGCCGUACUUCCCAGGCGGCGUGCUUACCGCGUUAGCUAAGGCACAGAAGAAAAUUGAAUCUCCUACACCGAGCACGCAUAGUUUAGGGCGUGGACUAC
RNAcentral lists this unclassified non-coding RNA (363 nucleotides) under uncultured bacterium. Its description in RNAcentral is "contains 16S-23S intergenic spacer region". The record is from RNAcentral.